Phrynosoma platyrhinos (Desert horned lizard) is the source of this 72-nucleotide non-coding RNA. Lineage: Eukaryota; Metazoa; Chordata; Lepidosauria; Squamata; Phrynosomatidae. The record is from the annotation of a GenBank genome assembly.
GCCAGUGUAGUGUAGUGGUUUCAGUGCUGAACUACAGCUCUGGAGACCAGGGUUCAAUUCCCCACUUUGCCA